ACGGGUGAGUAUCGCGUAGGGAUUUAUCGUUGGGUGGGGGAUAACCUUGGGAAACUGGGGCUAAUACCGCAUGACGCCUGUGGGCCAAAGCAGCAAUGCGCCUGAUGAGGAGCCUGCGUCCGAUUAGCUUGUUGGUGGGGUAAAGGCUUACCAAGGCGACGAUCGGUAGCUGGUCUGAGAGGAUGAUCAGCCACACUGGGACUGAGACACGGCCCAGACUCCUACGGGAGGCAGCAGUGGGGAAUAUUGGACAAUGGGCGCAAGCCUGAUCCAGCAAUGCCGCGUGGAUGAAGAAGGUUUUCGGAUUGUAAAGUCCUUUCGGCGGGGACGAUGAUGACGGUACCCGCAGAAGAAGCCCCGGCUAACUUCGUGCCAGCAGCCGCGGUAAUACGAAGGGGGCUAGCGUUGCUCGGAAUGACUGGGCGUAAAGGGCGCGUAGGCGGACAGUUUAGUCAGACGUGAAAUUCCUGGGCUCAACCUGGGGGCUGCGUUUGAUACGGAUUGUCUAGAGUUUGGAAGAGGGUCGUGGAAUUCCCAGUGUAGAGGUGAAAUUCGUAGA
This 559-nucleotide ribosomal RNA is filed under the name uncultured bacterium. RNAcentral describes it as "bacterial SSU rRNA". It matches the Rfam family "Bacterial small subunit ribosomal RNA", at positions 102 to 694 of the family's 1533-position model. The record is from RNAcentral.